GUCGAGAAUAAUUCACAAUGGGGGAAACCCUGAUGGUGCAACGCCGCGUGGAGGAUGAAGGUCUUCGGAUUGUAAACUCCUGUCAUCGGGGAGUAAGACCUGGGCGUGAAUAGCGCACAGGGUUGAUAGUACCCGAAGAGGAAGGGACGGCUAACUUCGUGCCAGCAGCCGCGGUAAUACGAAGGUCCCAAGCGUUGUUCGGAAUCACUGGGCGUAAAGGGAGCGUAGGCGGCGUGGUAAGUCAGAUGUGAAAUCCCGGGGCUCAACCCCGGAACUGCAUCCGAUACUGCCGUGCUUGAGGGUUGGAGAGGUAGCUGGAAUUAUCGGUGUAGCAGUGAAAUGCGUGGAUAUCGAUAGGAACACUCGUGGCGAAGGCGAGCUACUGGACAACAUCUGACGCUGAGGCUCGAAGGCUAGGGGAGCAAAAGGGAUUAGAAACCCGGGUAGUCC
Molecule: ribosomal RNA, 450 nt
Filed under: uncultured bacterium
Lineage: Bacteria
Description: bacterial SSU rRNA
Rfam family: Bacterial small subunit ribosomal RNA
Source: RNAcentral